CCCUUAGAUGUUCAGGGCCGCACGCGCGCUACACUGAAGGAAUCAGCACGUCUUUCUCCUUGUCCGAAAGGACUGGGUAACCCGCUGAACCUCCUUCGUGCUAGGGAUUGGGGCUUGUAAUUCUUCCCCAUGAACGAGGAAUUCCCAGUAAGCGCGAGUCAUAAGCUCGCGUUGAUUACGUCCCUGCCCUUUGUACACACCGCCCGUCGCUACUACCGAUUGGAUGGUUUAGUGAGAUCCUCGGAUUGGUCCCGGAGCGGCCUCUGGUCGUGCCGGAGUGCCGAAAAGAAUGUCGAACUUGAUCAUCUAGAGGAAGUAAAAGUCGUAACA
RNAcentral lists this ribosomal RNA (330 nucleotides) under uncultured eukaryote. RNAcentral's name for it is "partial 18S ribosomal RNA". It matches the Rfam family "Eukaryotic small subunit ribosomal RNA", at positions 1470 to 1796 of the family's 1831-position model. The record is from RNAcentral.